This 728-nucleotide ribosomal RNA is filed under the name uncultured bacterium. RNAcentral's name for it is "bacterial SSU rRNA". It matches the Rfam family "Bacterial small subunit ribosomal RNA", at positions 56 to 763 of the family's 1533-position model. The record is from RNAcentral.
UGCAAGUCGAACGAGGCUGAGGGGGCAACUCCUCAGUCGAGUGGCGGACGGGUGAGUAACACGUGGGUAACCUGCCCGGAAGUGGGGAAUACCUCGGGGAAACUCGAGCUAAUACCGCAUGACAUCUUCGGGACGAAAGUCCUGACGAUCAAAGCGGGGUCGCAAGAUCUCGCGCUACCGGAUGGGCCCGCGCCCGAUUAGCUAGUUGGCGAGGUAACGGCUCACCAAGGCUUCGAUCGGUAACCGGCCUGAGAGGGCGAUCGGUCACACCGGAACUGAGACACGGUCCGGACUCCUACGGGAGGCAGCAGUGGGGAAUCUUGCGCAAUGGGCGAAAGCCUGACGCAGCAACGCCGCGUGGAGGAUGAAGGCCCUUGGGUUGUAAACUCCUGUCGGUUGGGAAGAAAUCUUGCGGGGCUCAUACCUCCGCAAGUUGACUGUACCAGCAAAGGAAGCCCCGGCUAACUCUGUGCCAGCAGCCGCGGUAAUACAGAGGGGGCCAGCGUUAUUCGGAAUUAUUGGGCGUAAAGGGCGCGUAGGCGGCUUUGCGUGUCUUUCGUGAAAUCCCUUGGCUUAACUGAGGACGUGCGGAAGAAACUGCAGAGCUGGAGUCCGGGAGAGGGGGGUGGAAUUCCCAGUGUAGCGGUGAAAUGCGUAGAUAUUGGGAGGAACACCGGUGGCGAAGGCGGCCCCCUGGACCGGUACUGACGCUGAGGCGCGAAAGCGUG